GUAAGGUUCUUCCCCUCACAAAUCCACAGAAAAAUACCUGUCUACUAGCUGCACUUGCUAGAAUUGAGUUGUUUCUAUAACCUUUUCUUCAAUGGAAUUAACUUAGGGAUAAACUGCCUAUAUCAUUUUUGUUUUUGUUAUUUUCCAUGUCUAGCAUUUCUACCCAUUUCUACUUUCUCGUCUUUUGCCUCUUUCUACAUUUUUCAAGUUCACUGGUAGAAGAAUAAUGGAAGAAAGCAGUUAACUCCACCUCCAAGACACCUACUGAGAGAUCUGGAAAAUGGAAAGCUUAGGUCUGUGUAGGACUUAAGUCUGUGAGGUACAGUGAAAAGCAACAACAACAGCCACAACAAAAACUACAGAUUUCUUACAGCUCUGUCACCUGGUGAGGAAGGAGCAAGUCUAGUGCUCUGGAAGGAAUGGAGGGCAUGGCAGUUAAUCAUGUCACCAGUCAGAACAAAACAAACACAUAACUCCUCAGCUUCCUCUGGAGGGGAGU
This 499-nucleotide long non-coding RNA is filed under the name Heterocephalus glaber (naked mole-rat). Its description in RNAcentral is "lncRNA (ENSHGLG00000049976.1)". Lineage: Eukaryota; Metazoa; Chordata; Mammalia; Rodentia; Bathyergidae. The record is from RNAcentral.